Long non-coding RNA from Hydra vulgaris (swiftwater hydra), 857 nucleotides. RefSeq lists it as uncharacterized. NCBI's taxonomy places the organism in Eukaryota, Metazoa, Cnidaria, Hydrozoa, Anthoathecata, Hydridae. The record is from RefSeq and is a predicted model, not a curated record.
CAAAAAUAACCAGCCACCAUAAAGAUUAAAGAGACAAAAAAUUGUGUAUAUCUUGGUGUAGAUCAUUUAUCCUCAAUUUCUUAUAAUAAAACUAAAAAUACUAUUAAACUUUGGGUUUUACCUGUAACUACAAACUCUUUACAGAAGUUCAAUGUUUGCUCUGAGAAGUUAAAUGAACAAAAUUUAUUAAAUGAUAAAGUUGUAUCCUUGAAAGAUAUGCUGGUAUUAUUGGCACAAUGGGCAAGCAUUGAAGUGCAACUUGGUGAACUACAAAAUACAUCAAAAUCAGUUAUAAAAGUUUGAGUAUCAAAGGUGUGCUAAUUAUUGUAUUGCCUGAAAGAGUGUCAUAGCCAUUAAAAGCAGUGAAGAAUUCAAGUACUCUGGAAGAAAAAAGACAAGAAAACACUUCAGUAAAUGGCUGUGUAUUUUUGCAAGUUAAUUUUUUGGCACAAAUUGGAGUUAAAGACGAAGGAGAUUGUAUAUGUUAUUUACUAAGAAUAGUUUGUUAAAAUGGCCUAGCUGUAAAAUUAAAAUUAUGCAGGGAGAGGUUAAAAAAUUGGAAUAGGAAAAAGGUUGAUUGCAUAUGCUCCUAUUGGUAAAUGGUUUAGAAAAGUUUAUUUUUUCAGUUUCAAUUUUGUAUUACAGAAUUACUUUCAAUUUGUUAUUUUUCUUUGGUGCAUAAUUAAACAAACAACUAUUUUUUUUUUGCAGAAACUAUGAAGUCAAAUAAGCAGGGCUUAUGCAGACAUGUGAUGGAGAUAGCAGAAGAAAAAAUAAUAAUCGUGGGCACCAAAUAUCAUAAGCUAAACAUGAUUCAAUAACAAGUAGCUCAGUCAAUAUUGAAACUACUCUAUAAA